Molecule: ribosomal RNA, 755 nt
Filed under: Staphylococcus devriesei
Lineage: Bacteria; Bacillati; Bacillota; Bacilli; Caryophanales; Staphylococcaceae
Description: bacterial SSU rRNA
Rfam family: Bacterial small subunit ribosomal RNA
Source: RNAcentral
UUUGAUCCUGGCUCAGGAUGAACGCUGGCGGCGUGCCUAAUACAUGCAAGUCGAGCGAACAGAUAAGGAGCUUGCUCCUUUGACGUUAGCGGCGGACGGGUGAGUAACACGUGGGUAACCUACCUAUAAGACUGGGAUAACUUCGGGAAACCGGAGCUAAUACCGGAUAAUAUUUCGAACCGCAUGGUUCGAUAGUGAAAGAUGGUUUUGCUAUCACUUAUAGAUGGACCCGCGCCGUAUUAGCUAGUUGGUAAGGUAACGGCUUACCAAGGCAACGAUACGUAGCCGACCUGAGAGGGUGAUCGGCCACACUGGAACUGAGACACGGUCCAGACUCCUACGGGAGGCAGCAGUAGGGAAUCUUCCGCAAUGGGCGAAAGCCUGACGGAGCAACGCCGCGUGAGUGAUGAAGGUCUUCGGAUCGUAAAACUCUGUUAUUAGGGAAGAACAUACGUGUAAGUAACUAUGCACGUCUUGACGGUACCUAAUCAGAAAGCCACGGCUAACUACGUGCCAGCAGCCGCGGUAAUACGUAGGUGGCAAGCGUUAUCCGGAAUUAUUGGGCGUAAAGCGCGCGUAGGCGGUUUUUUAAGUCUGAUGUGAAAGCCCACGGCUCAACCGUGGAGGGUCAUUGGAAACUGGAAAACUUGAGUGCAGAAGAGGAAAGUGGAAUUCCAUGUGUAGCGGUGAAAUGCGCAGAGAUAUGGAGGAACACCAGUGGCGAAGGCGACUUUCNGGUCUGUAACNGACGCNNA